GGGAUUGAUUUGGGGACGACGAAUUCGGCGGUGGCGGCGAUGGAAGGGGGGAAGCCGACGAUAGUGACGAAUGCCGAGGGGCAAAGGACGACGCCGUCUGUGGUUGCGUAUACGAAGAUUGGGGAUAGGUUGGUGGGUCAAAUUGCGAAGAGGCAGGCGGUUGUGAACCCGGAGAACACCUUCUUUUCAGUGAAGAGGUUUAUUGGGAGGAAGAUGUCGGAGGUUGAUGAUGAAUCGAAGCAAGUUUCGUAUAGAGUUGUGAGAGAUGAGAAUGGGAAUGUGAAGUUGGAUUGCCCUGCUAUCGGUAAGCAGUUUGCUGCUGAAGAGAUUUCGGCUCAGGUAUAAGGGUGUUAUGAAGUUUUUGUGUAAUGGGUUUGUUGAAAGUUUCGAUUUUAUUUAUUUAUUUAUUUUUGCGUUGUUUGGCUUAUGAUGGAAUGAUGAAUUUGUGUCAUGUUGCUGACAUGUGGCUAUUCACCACAUAGCCAUGCGUUUAAAAUUAAGCAGAAGUGAAACAGUAACUGACAUACUAAAAUUUACUGGUAUCCUAUUGUUAUGGGCGUAGACCUGUAGUUGAAGUUGGAAUUUGGGCUCAUGAUGGUAUUUUUGUUUUACAUUGGGAUAAUGUGAUGUGGAUUUUGGAUAUGAGAAUGUUUGAAUUGAAUUUUUUUUCCCAGGGUGGGUUGGAGCUUUUUAGUUUCUAGAAUGUAAUAGGAAAAGAAAGAAAGAGUUGAUAGUUGCAUAGGAGUUAAUUUUUCUUUUGGGGAUGAAUUAGGGUUUUUGGGUGGGAUUGAUGAGCUCUUUUUUGUUUUUUUUCAAAUUUUUUGUUUGUUCUCAUAUUUAUUUCUGUGACAGCAUUUUCUUCUGCAAGGAAAAUUGUUAUAAUGCAUGUAAACCCACUUGUGCAUAAUCUUAUAGUACUUGCUAUGUUGUUAUUCUGCAAUGUGCAAGAUGCGCUUACCUGCAACCUGCGAGGAACUUCUUAAGGCUCAAAGAAACAAAUAUAGUUAUUCUUUAUUAUUAUUUUUUUGAAUUACAUUGAAGUAGUUCAUUCUAAUUGGUCAACUUGAAAUUGCACUGUGCAUCUGUCUUCCUUUUAGGUGUAUUAACUCAUUUUACAUAUGUAGAGUACUUGCUGAUGGUUAAUUUAUUCUGUUUUUCUAUAUCAGGUCUUGAGAAAGCUUGUGGAUGAUGCAUCCAAGUUCUUAAAUGAUAAAAUAACUAAAGCUGUGGUCACAGUGCCUGCUUACUUCAAUGAUUCCCAGAGGACAGCGACAAAGGAUGCUGGUCGUAUAGCUGGCUUAGAAGUUCUGCGUAUCAUCAAUGAGCCUACCGCUGCUUCGCUUGCCUAUGGAUUUGAAAGGAAAAACAAUGAGACCAUCCUAGUGUUUGACCUUGGUGGUGGUACUUUUGAUGUUUCAGGUACUCUUUCAGAAGUUCAUUUUUGUUCUGUCUUCUGCAGAUAUCUUAGGGAAUUUAUUUCAAUUGCAGCUUAAGUAAUGCGGCUGGAAAUUGAUCUUGGUGACUAUCAAAUUAUUUUGAAUGGAAAGGUCUGUUCAUUCUUAAAUAUCUUAUUUCUUUCUAUUCCAGUGCUUGAGGUUGGAGAUGGAGUGUUUGAAGUGCUUUCAACUUCAGGAGAUACACAUUUGGGUGGGGACGACUUUGAUAAGGUUGGAAUACCUUUAUAAUAUAGUGCCUUCAAUUUUGUUUGUACCUAUGUGUAAGAGCGAAGUAAUUUGGAUUUACUUAUGUGAUUAAUGGACAUGCAAUUAUCAUAUGCUAUAUGAAGAGAGUUGUUGAUUGGCUUGCUGAAAACUUCAAAAGAGAUGAAGGUGUCGUUCUUUUGAAUGACAAACAAGCUCUUCAGCGACUAACAGAAGCAGCUGAGAAAGCUAAAAUGGAGCUGUCAUCUUUGACUCAGGCAAACAUCAGGUAUGUUAUUUGUAUCUAUUUAACUCUUUUUUUUAUUCAGGUGCAUAUCAUCCUCUUGGCUGUUUGUUGUACUAAUAAUUUUUUGUUUUUCCAGCUUGCCUUUCAUUACUGCUACUGCAGAUGGGCCUAAGCAUAUUGAGACUACCCUUACAAGGGCCAAGUUUGAGGAAUUGUGUUCUGAUCUACUUGACAGGUUAGCUUAUUUUACACUAGUUCUUUCAACAUGGCGGUGCAUGUUUUAACGGAAUAUUUGCUUUUGAGCCCUUGCUGUAAUGGUAGAUGUUUCUAUUAUCUCGUGGCCUCUUCUGUGUUACCAUUGGGGUCCUAAAUGCUUCAUUUUUAGUCUCAUCUACUUGAUUUGCCUUGAUAGGCUAAAGAAACCUGUUGAAACUGCCUUGAGGGAUGCAAAACUUUCAUUCAACGAUCUAGAUGAGGUUAUCCUUGUUGGUGGAUCAACCCGUAUUCCGGCUGUUCAGGAGCUGGUGAAAAAGAUGACUGGGAAGGAUCCAAAUGUCACUGUUAAUCCUGAUGAAGUGGUUGCCUUAGGAGCUGCUGUUCAGGUAGGUUCAAUACUUACCAAAAUAUAUUCUGCUCUGUGCAUUUUUGAGUUCAUUAAAUUUGUAAAGGAGAAUUUUAUAAUCCUGAUUUCGUGGUGGAUAUUAUUUCACAACUAUCUUAGGAUGAAUUUGUGGUCGAUUGUUUUUCUUACUCCAUUUAGUUACAUAGUCUUAUGAAAUAUUUUAUGACUUUAGGGAGGUGUUCUUGCUGGAGAUGUCAGUGACAUUGUCCUAUUGGAUGUUACACCACUAUCUAUUGGUUUAGAAACCCUUGGUGGUGUUAUGACAAAGAUCAUCCCAAGAAACACAACUCUUCCUACUUCCAAAUCAGAGGUGUUCUCCACUGCUGGAGAUGGACAAACAAGUGUUGAGAUCAAUGUCCUUCAAGGUGAAAGAGAGUUUGUUAGGGAUAACAAAUCACUGGGCAGCUUCCGUCUAGAUGGUAUCCCACCAGCUCCACGUGGGGUUCCCCAAAUUGAGGUCAAAUUUGACAUCGACGCCAAUGGAAUUCUCUCUGUCACUGCUGUUGACAAGGGCUCGGGGAAGAAACAAGACAUCACCAUUACUGGUGCUAGUACCUUGCCCAGUGAUGAGGUCAGUUUGAUAUACUCUAGCUAACUGGGUGCUUGUUUAAAACUACUAUUUUUCUUCAUCUUGCAGUGCCUUCAAUAUAAUCGUUAAUUGUUGCAGAAUUUAUGUUGCUUUUUCAGGAGUGGUUGUGCAAUUAACGCAGCUUAAUAUAUUUGUACUAAGUUUAUUGCCUUUCUACUUUACCUUGCAUCCAUUACUACUUUAUAGUUAAGAGCCAAUUAUGUUGCAGCCUUUGUAUAUUUCGGCGUUUCAAGUCAGAAGGCAGAAGCUACAGGAUACCCAGUCAUUUUCUGUGGCUGAAUUAUUUAUGACCAGUCUUACAAUAUGUUUUGACCGUUGGCUGUUUUAAUGGAACUUGCUCAUAUGAAUUUAAAAGUUGCAUGAUUGCUACAAUUAUUGUCUUGUAAAUGAAAUUUUUUCUUAAGCUGGGACCUAUAUCAUUCAGCGAAUUGUGCUGUACUAAUGUCUCUAUCAAAAUCUGCAGGUGGAGAGAAUGGUGAAAGAAGCUGAGAAGUUCGCGAAGGAGGACAAGGAAAGGAGGGAUGCCAUUGACACAAAGAACCAAGCUGAUUCCCUCGUGUAUCAGACAGAGAAACAGCUGAAGGAGCUGGGAGAAAAAGUUCCAGCACCAGUCAAGGAGAAGGUUGAAGGAAAACUUCAGGAUCUGAAGGAUUCCAUUUCAGAAGAGUCAACUCAAAAGAUGAAGGACGCCAUGGCCGCCCUUAACCAAGAAGUCAUGCAGCUUGGCCAGUCUCUAUACAACCAACCAGGUGCUGGACCUGCUCCCGGUGCGGAAGCUGGGCCGUCGGAUUCAUCCAACAAGGGACCUGAUAGUGAUGUUAUUGAUGCCGAUUUUUCUGACAGCAAAUGAGGACCUUAUAGCUUUCUGUUCUCAUUCCUGGUAUCAUUUUUGUUGCAUGGGCAAAGGACACAACGUUGUUUUUAGAAAUAUAGAAGAUAUUGGUGACAGCUACAGAUAGUAGGAAACCCCCCAUUUGCAAACGAAACUAGUUUUAUUUCUUGUGUAUAAAAUGCACUUCAACAAUAGUUCAUUUAUUAAAUGCAGAAUAUGGUUUUUAUGAUAAAUUUUAGAGUUAAUUUUGAAUAUUUAUGUGUGAUAUGUUUACAAUAAUGCUGGGAUCUCAAUGUUGUAUGUGUGAAUUUGUUAUUGUUAUGUGGAUGAAGUAACGAUCUGAGAUUGAGUGGAUAGAGAAGAGAGUACUGCACAUUAAAAAUAUCAUUGAAAUUUUCAGCGCAAAGCAAAGGUGAUUGCACUGAAAAAUGUCCUUAAAAUGCCCUGAGCCAUUGCGUUUGUAAUUAAUGCUUCGAGCUUGAGGAUAAAGAUGCUAAUUUUGUCAUCUAUAAUUACAAUAAACUAUUAAAUUUCAUCUGCCAUUCAUUUUUUUUUUCUUUUUAAGCUUUAGCCCCGUUUUUUACGUAAAAGUCUUUCAAAGUGGCUAAUUUCGUGAUAUCGUUUAUAUAACAUCAUUCAACCUUUGUCAUUUUUCUAUCUUAAAUGUGUCAACAAAAAGAAUAAGAAAGCUGUAAACUAUUAGGUCUACUAAGUGAAUGUUUCUGGUGCUUUUAACAUUGUUUUGAAAGCAAACCAGCACAAGACACUUUUAUUUGGUAAUAAAUGUUUUACCACUCAUCCAAUGCUUAUGGUUUACAGCUAGUGAGUGUGGAUUAAAAAACAACACUUCCGUUCCAAACAUGCCGCUUUGAAUUUGAAAUAUAAAGUUUGUAUUUCGUAAAAUAUGACUAAUAAAAUGAUACUAUCAGCAUGUGUGAUGCAUUAGGUAAAACCUAUAUAUAACAAAGAUUGUUAUGAAAUGAAAGUGUGAUAUGGCUUUUAUAGAACAUUGGCGAUCGACCACACCCAUUCCCGAUAUUUUACAUAUAUUCCCGUCCCCUCCCCAUCCCCAUUAGAAUUGAUUGAGGAGAUCCCCGUUCCCUCCCCGAAUGAUAAGAGGGGAUUUCUGAGGGGUCCACAAACCUCGAAUAACUAAUACGUUUUUAUAUUUAAAUUCUGAACUUGAUUAAUUAUAUUAAAAUAAAAAUUUAAACAAAAGUAAGGUUUGACAAUAUAUCUUACACUAACAUUAAUGCAUUACAAAAAUCGUACUACAAAAUAUAAAUUAUCAUAAUAAUUAUCUUCGUCAAUCUUCAUAAUCUUAUGAUAAAAAGAAAUUAUUUUAUAUCAAUAAUGAAAUAAAUGAAAUGGGUAUAGAUACUAAAAUUAAUAUUUUUAAUAAAAGUGUUUACUCUUGUACCUCAUGCUCCUCUUGUUCUUCCUCAAGAAAUGUGACAAAUUGAGAGAUAACAUCAGGUUUCAAAUCUAAAACAAUAAAAAAUAUCUAAACAAUAUGACUCAUAAUUUAAAAUAGUUUUGCGCCAAGAUAUUUAGAAUAAGGUCUGGUUGAAUAGUAAUUCAGGACUACAACUAGUUAAGUAGGUUCGAAAUUUAUAUAGCAGAUUUUAUAAAUAUUUUGAUAUUUGUUAUUUAAACUAAUAUUUAAUAUAAUUUAAAUUUCAUUAUUCAUUUAUUAAUAAUUCUAAAAAAUAGAACCAAAAUUAAAAAUUAAUAUGAGGAAAUGGGGAAAUGGAUAGGGGAUGGGUAUUUCACCUUAUCCCCAUCCCUUUCCCGAAUAAGAAACUGGGUAAAAAAUUGUCCUCAUUCCCUCCCCGAAUAAGAAAUUAGGUAUCAAAUUGUCCCCAUACCCUCCGCGAAUAGGGAAAAUCUCCAAAGAUCCCCGUCCCCGUAAGAAUUUUUGCCAAACCUAAAAGGGAAAGAUGCGAAGGAAUACCUUUUUAAAACAAAAUUCCUCCAAAUUUGGGAAAUAUUCAUUUUCUUCUGCAUAAUAAUUGCAUUUGAUCCAAAAGAGAACAAUUACUUUUCCAAAUGACCCCAUGAGAGAAAAUGAGGUUACGCAAAUUGAGUGGAGGUGGAAAUUGUUAGAUUAUAUAAGUUAUAAAACUAAAUUCCUAAAUUAUUAUGAUACAUCUUUUUAGAUAAUUUAAUCGCCGUACGUUAUAAGAGUAAAAUGAUUAAAUUAAAAUUAAGUAAAAGCGAUCUUAGUAGUCAAAGAUGGUCAAUAAACAUAGGUCUAAAAAAAUUAUUUAUUCAUUAAUUGUCAAAACUUUUUCUCUAUUUGAAUUUUUUGAAAAUAAUAUGAAUUCUCCAUAAUUAGUUUUUGAAAUGGGUGGAUCUACACAGAUUGUGGGUAAAAAUAUCCCAAUUCCAGUACAAAAUUUGUUAAAAGUAGAAUGACGAGGCCUAAUUUCAUAUAGUCCAACUAAAACUCAAUCUAAAAAUCUAUAUCAAAGUAAAGGAGAGUCCUACUUCAAAAUAGAGAUGACCAACGAGCCGUGUAAGCAAGGGGAAGGUGAAUGAAGGCCCAUGGGUUGGCAUGGCACGACUCACCAUGUGAACUAAAUGGGUUGUGCUUGACUUUUUUUGCUUAGGCCCAACACGACCAAGCACAACGUGCUUGGUCGUGCCCAAGAAAAAGCACAAUAAAAAAAAUUUUAAGAGGACAUGCCAAGUUGUUGACAAGCUUUUCUCAAACCCAUGAACAUUUCUUGGGCCAUAUACCUUUAGUCAAAUUCAAUAGAAUUAAAAGUUUAAAACUCUAAGUCAAUAUUCGAUAUUUUUAGUGACAAAAUUAUAAGUUCUUCACUAAAAAUAUUCUUAUAAAAAUUUAAUGUAAGGUCAAAAUUUUAGACCUUUUGCGACGAAAUGUAUAUUUCAUCGCUAAAUGUGUAUUUUUAAUGAAGAAAUUGUAAUUUCAUUGCUAAAAUAUUCGUUAAGGACCUAAAGAACCACCAAAAUUUCAUACCUUUUUGAGAUGAAAUUUAAAGAUUUAAGGUGGUUAAUUUUUUGCCAAAGUUUUAGGCUUUUAGCAAUGAGAUUAUAAGUUCAUCGCUAAAAAUAUUUGAUUAAAGAUUUAAAAUGGUUAAUUUUCCACCAAAAUUUUAGACCUUUAGCAAUGAAAUUUAAAUUUCAUCCCUAAGUGCAUUUUUUUAGCAACAAUUUUCAUUUUGCCACUAGACAACGUGAGAAUUUAAAAAUGUAAAGCAGAUUCUUUUCCACCAAAAUUAAGUUUUAAUGAUGAAUUUUAAUUUUCAUCGCUAAAAACCCUAGUUCUAUGUUUAUAUAUCAUUUACUUCAUUUUUUUUAUUCUUUCUCAUUCUCUCAUUCUCUUAAUUUUAUUCUUUAAUUCUCUUAUCUCUAAUUUAUUAUUCUCAUUCAAUCAUUCUCUACUUCUUUUCUCUCUUUUAUUUUUAACAUAUUUGUAAUUAUUUUUGUAUUUUUCAUCAAUAAUAAUAAUAAUAAUAAUAAUUUUAAAUUAAUUAAUUUUCAUCUUAUCAUAAUGAUGUUAAUUAUCAUUGUAAUUUAGUGUUAAAAAUGAUAAUAUUUUAAUAAUAAUAAUAAUAAUCAAAUGUUAAAAAAUGAUGUCUUCUAGCGAUGAAAUAAUAUUCAUCGCCAAAAAUACUUUCAGUGACGAAAUAAUUUGUUUACUAAAACUCAUAUUCACAGCACAUAAAUUAAUGAAGAGUUUAUGCUUUUGGUGACAAUUGUAUUUAUGGCUAAAAAAGAGACCUUUGGUAAGGAAACUUUUCAUCACCAAAAGUGUGUUUUUUUGUGCUCCUUUUGCUAUGAAUCUAGCAACAAAGAUUUGGUCGCCUUUAUCAUUUUUGCGAUGAAGCUAAUUUUAUUGCUAAAACAUUCAGAGAUGAAAUUUGAAUACUUCAUGUCAAUGAAAAAAAUCACUGUAGUCUUUAGCGAUGAAAAUUAUACGUUUUAGCGAUGAUUAUUUCUGUCCUAAAGCCCCUUUUUGUUGCACUGAACAUCUGGCAAUGCAUUGAUCAUAUCUUGGGUAUUGACUUUUGAUCUGCAUGCGCUAAGGUAUCUAAUUAUAGAAGCCCCGAUAAAGUUAGCACCAAGAUUAUUUGACUCAAUUGUUUGAUGAUUUCUUCAUUCUAGCGGUUUUAAUAAAGAAGUUUUAAAAAUCUUGAAGUGCCAUUUGUGAAUAUUUGCUAUUCACUUUCGUAUGAUACUAAUUGAAGAUGUUUAAAAAUAUUAUGCAUUUGUAAGUAAACAUUCUAGUAAUAUACCAAAGUUUCCUUUUAUUCACGUACAUAAAUAUGAUCUUAAUUUUAUAGUAAACCUGAAAAAAAAGGAAUUCCUGUUGAAGGAAAUAAGAAUCCAUUUAUUGCCUGAAAUGAAUUAUUUUACUGUGAAGUUUUCUCCUUCCAAGUGCUUGAUUAUUCUAUAUCCUUUCCAACAGGCUCUACUACAGGUCCUUUGUUACUGUAUUCAUCAUAGUAAAAGUCUCCACGCUCUGUCCUUGCCACAAUCCAACCUUUAGGAUCAAUUAUUCCAUCAAGAAAAGUUUGCGAGAUUAUUGUUCUUGAAUAUAUAAUUUCUCCGCGGUCAUCCCAUGUAUGUCUCGAUUGAUGUUUGCUCUGAGAGAAGUCUUCUAUGAUUGUCUUUACAUUCCCUUCAGUAGUUAUGGUGCGAUUAUGAAUGAUUACUCCUCCAUUUUCCCUUGCUUUUUCUCUUCCUUCGGUUGUGACCGUCUUUACACUCCCACCAAGGAAACAACGAAUGUAGAUAUUACAAUUUUGAACACUUAACUUGCAUCUCCAAAUAUAAAAUCAAUUACACCAUAGACAUCACACUCUUGAUAGAACAGUUUAUUGCUUCUAGCAUAAAGGGCGCACUGAUACCCAGCAAACUUUUACCUCUAGAAGGCAGAGUCCACCUCACCACUGAUGCUACUGCCUAGCUUGUUUCCUGUUAUGGUCCAGUUGUCAAAUGUUGUAUUAAUUGUCACAAAUCGAGCCACUUUAAUCAUUACAUUGAGUUGAAAAAAAAAAAAAAAAAAAGCUAAUCAAUAUAUGUUAGAAUAUAACAAGAUCAUGUUUACUGAUCUUAUUUUUUGUUUGUUAAUUUAAUGCAUGUAUACUACAAUUUAUAAGGAGAAAAAAGAGAGAAUAAAAUUGCAUAACUGAUCACUCAUUAACUGUAGCAGUCUUGUAAGUAGAUAAACGAUCCUUUUCCGUGGCUUUUAUUCCUGGAAAUGAUUGUGUCUUUGAUUUUAUUGCUAAUUUACACCAAAUUCAUUUUCUCUUUUCCAACAACAACAUAUUCAAUAGAGAUGGCCAAUGGACUGAGAGAGGUAAGUGGCACGACAUGUGCACGGCACGGGCACGACACAUGUUUGUAUAGCAUGGCAUGACAUGAGCACAUUUUGGUAGAAUUGCGAAUUAUGUUGGACUGAGAAUUUUAGGCAUGUGUGUCUCAAAGAUAAGUCACAAUUAGAAAUGAGCUAAAGUAUGACUUGUGACAAAGCCCGCAAUAAGCACACUUUAUUGGUGGGUUAGCGUGUAGUCCAUGGGUCAUCAAUAGCAUGUAGGCUAAGAUAUAUCAAAAUAAAUUUUUUUAAUAAAAAAUAAAUUUAAAAUUUUAUGAUUUUACGAAUAACUUGAAGUUGAAUCUUUUAAUAUAUUUUAUUAGCAUGGAUUUUUUUAAAAUUCAUUUAAGUUUUAAUCUUAUUCAUUUACCAUAAUUGUGAUUAUAUAAUCAAUAUUUUGUAGUUGUGAUUUGUCAUAAUUGGUAGUUCAUGAUUGUUAUUGCAAUCAUAAGAGAAUUCAUUGGGAAGAAAUAAUCACGUUGGAGGAAUAAAGAUACCACUUAUGACUGUGAGUAAAUCGCUGAACAAUUUCUAAAUUCUGAUUCUUGAGUUGAUAUAAAACUUAAAAUUUAGAUUCGCAAGAAACUCAUUCUGUGAAGUGAAUGUGGUGUUGCUAAUAGCUAAUAUUGGAGAGAAGAUGUAUUAUAUAACUAGGUCCAACUUAGGAUUCUUUAUUUAUAGACCAAUAGAAGAGUUGAGCUAUUCAUCAAAUCUCUAUUUUUAUUUAGGAUGAGAUUAUUUACACUCUAAUAUAUUCUUUGCACAUUCUAAUUUUAGUAAAAUUUUAUAUUACUAAAGUAACCCUAACGUAUUUAUUAAUUGAUCAUGAGUGUGGAGUAAUAGAGCCUUACCCUUUUAUUUAUGAUUUAGAUUUACAUAUUUUGUCAAAUAAAUCCUCAUACCAUCGAAGUUUACCAAAUAUAAAUAUAGUCAACUUCUAGUUCGAGACGUGUUUACAAUAUUACAAAUAAAACUUGGACUUAAAUAAAACACGGGAUUCCUGGAUUGAAAAAACUUCAUAUAUAUUGUCAGAUAAAUACUCAUUCCUCAUUGAGCAAAUUAUAGAUCUUUUUUGUUUAUUAAAAUGCAAUUAUCAUCUUUCCUUGAAAGACUUCCAUAAUUUAUUUUCACAACACAAAAUUUUCUUUUAUUUUUAUUCAAUAAUUAGAUUAUCAUUUUCUAUUAAAUUUAAUUAAUCAGUGGAAUUUUUCAACUGUAGUAUGACUUAGGGCUCUUGAAAAGAUAAAAGCUAAUUUUAGUGUUUAGUAAAUUUUUUUAGAAAUAACUUUUGACAAAAUCACCCCAUCCUACAACCAAUUUAUUAAAAGCAGGAAAGGAGUACCUUUUCAAAAUUUGAUUUUGAGAAUUACUUUCCUACUUAAUACAAUUCCAUACAUUUUUUUUCAUAUAUAUUAAAAAAUCUAAAAUUAUCCUUAUUAAUUAGGAAAUAAAAUCAAUAAGAUUAUUAUUGAGAUAAUGAAAUAAAAAAUAAAAUUAAUAAUAUAAAUAUUUAUUUUAGUUAUGUUUAUCAGUGUGUAAAUAAAUUUUAUUCAACAUUAUGUCUAAUUUAGUCAUUUAUAUUCUUACAAUAGUUUAACAAUAAAUUUUACCAAACACACAUAAUUAUUUUUAAUAUUUGCAGCACUUUUAAAAAUAAAUGUUACCAAAUAUUUAAUUAAUUCUUUUCAGAGUUGAUUACUUCUACAACACAGCUAACAUUAUUUAUUUUAAAAGAAUACAAUAUUAUCAAACUAGGCCUUAGCAAUAACAUAUUGAUGACUUUGAAAUUAUUUUAAAAGACCAAUUUUGACUAGUAGAAAAAAGAACAUUCCUUAUAAUCAGAAAAAAAAAAAUUAUUAAAAGUUUCUAAUUUCGUGAGUAUUAAUUUCUUAGUGCUUUUCUAAUUUAAAAGGUAAUGUAGAACAAGAAGAUAGUAAAAUUCUCAAAAAUGAAUAGACUUGAUAACAUAAUUUUCUUACAAAAUAUUAAUAAAUACUUUGAGCAAAUAAAAUAGAAAUACUAUAGAGUGCAAGAUGGAUGAUAUUGUUAGCAUAAUAAUAAUCUAGCUCAAUUAUCCAACAUAGGAACAAUCAUUUACCAAGCAACUAUAGAAGGCCGAGUCCGCUUCACUCACUAAUGCUACUGCCUGGCCUGUUUCCUGUUCUGGUCUGGUUAUGUUCUCAAAUGUUAUAUUUAUUGUCACAAAUCCAGCCCCUUAAUCACUACAUUAAUUUGAAAAAAAAAAUAGCUAAUCAAUAUAUGUUAGAAUAUAGCAAGACCAUGUUUACUGAUCUAAUUUUUUGCUGCUUGUUAAUUUAAUGUAUAUAUGCUACAGUUCAUAAGGUGAAAAGGAGAGAAUAAAAUUGCAUAGCUGAUCACUCACUAACUGUAGCAGUUUUGUAAGUAGAUAAAUGAUCCUUUCCGUGCCUUUCAUUCCUGGAAAUGAUUGUGUUGUUGAUUCCAUUGCCAAUUUACACCAAAUUCAUUUUCUCUUUUCCAACAACAACUUAUUCAGUAGAGAUGCCCAAUGGGCUAGGAGGCAAGUAGCACGAUAUUGGCACGGCACGGGCACAGCACAUGUCCAUACAACACAGCACAACAUGAGCAUGUUUUGGUAGGACAUGUAGUACAACACGGUACACGUAUGAACUAUGUUGGGCUGAGAAUAUUAGGCAUGUGGGUCUUAAAAACGCGUCACAAUUAGAGAUAGGAUAAAACACGGUCCAUGAGAAACCCCACAAUAAGCACACUUCAUUGGAGGGCUAGCAUGCAACCCGUGGGCCAUUAAUAGCAUGCGGGCUAGGUAUAUUAAUGAAAAGUAAACUUAAAAUUUUAUGAUUUUAUAAAUAACUUGAAAUUAAAUCUUUUAACAUAUUUUAUUACCGUAGAUUUUUUAAUUCAUUUAAGUCUUGAUCUUAUUCAUUUAUCAUAGUUGUGAUAAGUAAUCGAUGUUUUGUAGUUGUGAAUAUGAAGCAUUUGCUAAAUGAUAGGACUGAUUCUUUAAGGUACAUGCCAGUAGGGACUGUGAGGUUAAAGGGCAUUGAGCUACCCUAGCUAAGAGGAUAGUUGCCAAGAUUGCAGGGGAUUAAUAGAAGCAGCAUAUUUAAAAAGGCGUGAUAUUAUAGUCCCUAUAUGUGUCGAUUCAUAUAAGUUUGAAAAAGUUUAAAACGCUUUUUUUUUAAGGGUCUGACUAUGGUGCAACUGUAGUACCAUACUACAGUUUCUUCCAGCCGUUGAAUCCAACUUAUGAUAACAACUAUAACUAAAUCUAACGACUGAAUGCAACUGUAAUAUGAUACCACAGUUCCAUCAUAGUUUUGCCCAUUUUUCAAUCUGUGCAAGACAAACCGGACCAAAAAAUUGCUGGAGCACCAGGUCAUUUGUACCAACAUGUUAUUAAUUAUACACGUACGCGUGGCUUUGUCAUGAUUUGAUGCUACACCAAAAAGAGAUAUUUAUAGCUAUAAUUUUUAAACUGCACCGUGAUAUUUGGUAAAUAAUAGCAGUUAAGGUUUAGAAAGUAAGUUGAUUUUCUUUCACAUUUGUAUGAUUAAAAAUCAAUAAUAUUUUUAUUAUUUUUAUCAAAACUCUUAUUGAAAAGACUUAUUCAUUAUACACUAUCAAAUUUUAUUGUAUAGUUAUGAUUUUUUUUUACAACUAUUGUUUAAAAAUUACAACCUCUGAGUACAAAACAAUACCUUUGACUUGUUAAUUGUGAUGGCGUUGCAGCCUAAGGAGUUCUUUAGGAGUUUGAGAGGCAGAAAGAAAAACAGUAUUAGUAUUUUACCAACUAAAAGUUCUUAAUUUAAUUUUAUGUUCUGCAUUUUGCUCUGAUAGAUUUUGUGUUUAUUAGGCUAUGAAUUUUUUUAGAAAUAAAGUGUGCAUUUCUAUGUUCUUCAUUUAGGAGUGUUAAUUCAUGUAAUCGUGUCAUGUCAAAUUUAAGCAAACACAAAUACGAUCCAUUUAUUUUAAUAUAUUCUUUUUAAUCUCUUGUAUGAUAGGAAAAACAUAAAUUUUAAUAUUGUUUUAUUGUUUAGAAGAUUAGAAGAUUAGAACUCGUGUUGGGUAAAACCUAAGUCAAUUAUUUUAACCCCUAUACCUCUCCAGAAUUUGAACUCCAGUGACCGAUCAAGUAAGACGACUUAAAAAUUGCUAAUAACUUAUAUACUCCACAUGAUAGAAUAGCAAUGAAUAGAAUUACUGAUUUAUUUAUUUUAUUUUGGAUUACCCCCAGGAUUAUUAUUUACCCAAGUUGAACAAUUUCGACUUGGCGACUUCGGAAUUUCUGAAAAUUCCGAAAAAAGAACUCUCACAAGUAUCACUUUCAAUUAUUUCAUCCGCUACAUAUCGGCCGGCAGAAUCAUGAUCACCAUUCUCCAUAUGUUUUAUAGCCGUGGGGAGUUCAUCGAUAGCUAGAUCAUAAACUUGAAAGCAAACAUCGAGACAGAUUUUCAUAGCCUGAUCUUCGGUUUCAUUAAGCAACUUCUUGAUUUGUUCAUACGUAAUAUUGCAGUAUGUUGAUGCCGAUUCAAGUAUGAUGUGAGCUAGACAUUUGAAACAGAUCUCAAGGAUCCGGACAUUUAUCAUCCUAAAGUAAUUUCAAUAUUAUAUUUUCUACUAUUUUUAAUUUCCUAUUGAAUAAACUUUUUCUUAUACUGAUUUUUUUUUUGGUUCCCCCCAAAUUUGUUGAUAGUUUGCAGGACAAAGAGUAGUAGUUGAACCAUUACUUAGGUUUAUGGUAAAGGAGGUAAAUAAUUGGCAUGUUAUUAAGCCUUGUUUUCUCUGAACCAUUAAAUAAUUUGGCUUUUGAGUCAAGUGCUAGCUUUUUAAGGUACUCUCACUGAACUGAGUGACCAAUUUCUUUUGUACUAAAUGUAUCAUGUGAUGCAGGUAGCAGAGCAGGAGUAUGGUUUAUAAAACAGCAAAACGUUUUGUUUUGGUGAAAGGAUUACACAGAGUAUGUGACAUCGCACUUGGCUUUGAAAGAAUGUGAGUGAUGAACUUAAAAAGGGGUGACUUCCCUUGCACGGUCCAUCUGUUUUCAUUAAUACCUUUGUUGCAUAUCUAGGUUCAAGGAGCAAUGUUGAUGCCAUUCAUAGAUAUUAAAGACAAUGAGGAGAAAAAGGUGAUAUACUAUACUUGCUGCAUAAUGACCAAAUCUCCAUCGCUCUCUCAUUGUAACUUGAUACGCAAUUUGAUUGUCAACGAAUAAUUAUUAACCAAGAAUGCAGGGUAUCAAAAGAAGCAGCAUACUUGAAAAAGGCAUUAUAUUCUGGAGGCUAUGUGUCAAUUCAUAUAAGUUUCAAUAAGUUUAAUAGUUGAGCUCUGUUAGCUCGCCCAUUUUUUUUUUUUUUUUCCAAUUUGCGCAUUCAGGUACUAUCAAAGUUUGCUUACACUACUGGGUUCGGAGCAUCACUGGCUGUGGUUCUAGACUUCAGGUUUUUAUUAGUUAACUCUCUCUCCCUUGUGUGUACACACACACAUAUCAUGUUUUUUCAUAGUUCUGAAACUCACAAGAUUUAAUUGUAUUAAAAAUGUUUUGGUCGUCUGCAUUGUCAGGUUAAGGAUACUGAGCAAUGUAUUAAGGCAAAUGUCAGAGUUUUGUUAGUUUCCAAGAAAUCGAUCCUACUGUGGGGCCAAGGAUACUAUGAGGUUAUUUGGAAUUGAGGUGCUGUAAUUUUAAGUUACAGCUGUUGUAAAAAAAAAAUAUAAUUAUGAAAUAAAAGUUAAUAGUGUAUAGUAAAUAUAAUAAAUUUUUCAUCAUACAAGUGAAAAAUAAUAUAAAAAUAACUUUCAAGUUACAGCAGUUAGUGUUUACCAAAUAUUUUAGUACUGUAUUUUUUAAAUUACAGUUACCCAACCUCAAUCCAAACGCACCCUAAGUACCAAGAUUAUCUUUAUGUGAGAUUUGCAUUUGAUCCAGUGAAUUUUGAGAGCUAGGGUGAGAGAAUUUUUAGGAUAUUGGGAUUUAGGUUGGGGUAUAUUAUUGUUCAAAAUUUAUAUCGUCCUAUAUUUUUUUUAGUUAAAUUAUCUUCAUGUGUUCGCCCCGUGGAUACAGACUGAGAAUCGAACCAUGUAAAGUUAUUAUGUUCUUUCUUCGCAAUUGUUUACUAUAUAGUAUUUGAGAUUGUAUCUCCAAGGUGUGCUUAAAGUUAUUCUUGUUAUUAUUAAUAAUAGGAAAAGAACUUACAAAAUCAUGUUAAUUUGGCACCUUAGGAAUCCUGUUAUUUUUAAAAGUAAUUACGUAUAUCCUUUUUAUGUUUAUACGUAGUCACACAAGUCCUUAAGGUUUGUUUAAAAAGAGUGGACAUUAAAACAAAUCUAAAGCUAAUUGUGGCCUUCAAGUCUCAUGUUGCUUUCUAUCAUAUAAUUUCAAAUGAAAUUUUUUUCCGUUAUUUCUCUAGUUUGAAAUCAAUAUAUAAUUGAUUCUAGUAUAAAACUCUGAAUGGUCAUUGAUUUGUCAGCACGUCUUUAUAAAAAAAUUGUGUGAUCAUUUCUAAGAAUAAUGAAGUCCAUAUGAUCAUUUCACUAAACCACAACAUCUCACUAUCAAUUUCUCUUGCUAGCAAGGCUUCCGCCUAAUCAUAGGCGGUGCCCGAAUAAUCAUUUAAGGUACCAAUUUGAGUCUUUUAUAUUUGGGUGAUUUAAAAUAAUUUAUUUCCCUUCCUACAACUAUAGUUAGAGAUAAAUAUCUUAAUUUCUGGUUAUACUCUUGGUAGACCUUUAAACUGUACUAUGAGUGUAUCGAUGUAGAUUCUGAUCCCAAAUUAUAAUAUCAGGUAACACUUGAAAAUAUAUAUAUAUAUAUGAAGAAGGUCAAGAUUUUCUAGUUAAUGUUGUAUUUUGUUUGACCAAGAAUUAAUUAAACGAGCCCAGCCCAACAACUCAUCGGACCAAUGAUUACCCAUGACUUGUCUGUACCACUGGUGCCGCAGAGGCCUCUGGCGGUCUUAUUGGCUCACACCACAGUGGGGUCUUCGACUGGAAAACUCAAUCCAACGCGCAGACAAAACUAACCCGAACGCGAACAUCCUCGAUCUUUCUAUCACCGAUCAUACGGCCGCAAAUCACCCUCUCCCUCCAGAAGACCAUUCUAGAAUCCUUACACGUGUCACCACCUAACCCUCACCCGUACUCUCUCUCUAUCUACCCCUAAACCCUUCUCUCUUUAUCCUCUUCCUUCUUCUUCGCAGUCUUCAAGAACUAAAACUGAACUCUCUCUCUCUCUCUCUUACACACACACACACACACACACACACACACACACACACACACACACACACACACACACACACACACACACACACACACACACACACACACACACACACACACACACACACACACACACACACACACACACACACACACACACACACACACACACACACACACACACACACACACACACACACACACACACACACACACACACACACACACACACACACACACACACACACACACACACACACACACACACACACACACACACACACACACACACACACACACACACACACACACACACACACACACACACACACACACACACACACACACACACACACACACACACACACACACACACACACACACACACACACACACACACACACACACACACACACACACACACACACACACACACACACACACACACACACACACACACACACACACACACACACACACACACACACACACACACACACACACACACACACACACACACACACACACACACACACACACACACACACACACACACAAAUAAGACCGCAUUCAAAUUCCCACAUAUCUCACUGAAAUAACAAAAGGGCUUGUUUAAUUUUCUGAAAUAUAAGCAUGGCUUGUUCAUCGGCAGCUCAAAUUCAUUUCCUCGGUAAUAUUUCAUUGUCGUCGAGAAAAAACAGUAAAAACGGUCGUCAGAACACGGCGGGGUCGAGAAAUUUGUUUUUUGGGAAAAGGGUUGGCGGGAACCGAUUCGGGUCGGUUCCAAGCGCUGCGUUUUUGAGGUUGAAGAGUGAGAACAGAGGGGGAAGGUAUGUGGGGCCGGUGAGGGUGGUGAAUGAGAAGGUGGUGGGGAUUGAUUUGGGGACGACGAAUUCGGCUGUCGCGGCUAUGGAAGGAGGGAAGCCGACUAUAGUGACGAAUGCUGAGGGGCAAAGAACGACGCCGUCUGUGGUGGCGUACACGAAGAAUGGGGAUAGGUUGGUGGGUCAGAUUGCGAAGAGGCAGGCGGUCGUGAACCCGGAGAACACCUUCUUUUCGGUGAAGAGGUUUAUUGGGAGGAAGAUGGUGGAGGUUGAUGAGGAAUCGAAGCAGGUUUCGUAUAGAGUUGUGAGAGAUGAGAAUGGGAAUGUGAAGUUGGAGUGUCCUGCUAUCGGCAAGCAGUUUGCUGCUGAAGAG
Molecule: long non-coding RNA, 17689 nt
Filed under: Citrus sinensis (sweet orange)
Lineage: Eukaryota; Viridiplantae; Streptophyta; Magnoliopsida; Sapindales; Rutaceae
Description: long non-coding RNA (CSIN_LNC004492)
Source: RNAcentral